This 232-nucleotide small RNA is filed under the name Pan troglodytes (chimpanzee). Its description in RNAcentral is "sense overlapping". Lineage: Eukaryota; Metazoa; Chordata; Mammalia; Primates; Hominidae. The record is from RNAcentral.
AACAAGGGGGAGUCUCCCUGCACAAGCUCUCUCUCUUUGCCUGCUGUCAUCCACCUAAGAUGUAACUUGCUCCUCCUUGCCUUCCACCAUGAUUGUGAGGCUUCCCCAGCCACGUGGAACUGUUCAAAUUUCCAUCUGGUGUCAUUUUUCUUCUACCCGAAGAAUUUUCUUGAAUAUUCCUUAUAGCAUAGGUCUGCUGGCAAUAAAUUAUCAGUUUUUGCUUGUCUGAAAA